This 913-nucleotide ribosomal RNA is filed under the name Aelurostrongylus abstrusus (cat lungworm). RNAcentral describes it as "partial large subunit ribosomal RNA". It matches the Rfam family "Eukaryotic large subunit ribosomal RNA", at positions 91 to 920 of the family's 3401-position model. The record is from RNAcentral. Lineage: Eukaryota; Metazoa; Nematoda; Chromadorea; Rhabditida; Metastrongylidae.
GAGUGAACUGGGAAAUGCCCAGCGCUGAAUCUUUCGAUGUUAUAUCGUAAAGAAAUGUAGCGUAUAGGUGUGGUUGUCGGUUUGUUUAACAUGUCCAAAGUUCCUUUGAUAGGGGCCAUAUUCCGGAGAGGGUGCGAGACCUGUGCGGACAGUUGAACAUACCGUAUGAUUAUACCGUGGAGUCGGGUUGCUUGAAAGUGCAGCCUUAAGUGGGUGAUAAACUUCAUCUAAGGCUAAAUAUGGACGCGAAUUCGAUAGCGAACAAGUACUGUGAAGGAAAGUUGCAAAGAACUUUGAAGAGAGAGUUCAAGAGAACGUGAAAUCGCUAAAGUGGAACCGGAGAGAGUUGACGUAGUGUGGUGGAUAAGUAUUGCAAGAAUCGCAUUCAUUAAUAUGAAUAUGAUCGAGUAAUAUGUAUGCCAUUAGUGACUGUGCUGACAGCAUCGAAUGCACGUUCUGAAUUGUGUUAACGCGUUGCCCAUUCCAGUAUACUAGGAUGGUGUCUUGUGUUACGUGAUGACGUUUGUUGUACGUUGAUGUUGAUGAGUAUCGUAAUUAUGUUCUGUAAUAAUGUCAGCGUAAAAGUCAACCACCUCUCCGACCCGUCUUGAAACACGGACCGAGGAGUGUAACUUGUACGCGAGUCAAUAGGUGAAAAACCUUGAGGCGAAAUGAAAGUGAAGGCACGGUUAACCGGCUGACAUGGGAAACGUCUGCGAUGAAUUUCUAUUUCAUUGACGAUACGUCACACCAUGGCCCUGUCUUGUCUGCGUGCAGAUGGGCAGCGGUAGAGCGUACAGGUUGCGACCCGAAAGAUGGUGAACUAUGCCUGAGCAGGACGAAGUCAGAGGAAACUCUGGUGGAAGUCCGUAUCGGUUCUGACGUGCAAAUCGAUCGAUAGACUUGGGUAUAG